AAUUGUGGGGAUGGCUCUGGACCUGGCAGUAUUUUGUUCUGUUGUCCAUAGGGUCGCUAUGAGUGGGAACCAACUUGACGGCACCUAACAACAAUACUUAGCCCUAGCUCCCUUUCUCCUCUUACUCUCUACAUUUUCCCUAGGCAACCUCACCCAAGACCAUGGCUUCCCUUCCUGUUUGUAUGUCUAUUUGAAUGUUUCUGCCUGUGCAGCUUCAGAGGAGAGGGAGGAAUGGGGCAGGGAGGGAGGAAGGAGGACAUAUGCCUUACCCGUCAGAUCAGUAGAAUCAACGCUGGUGAACAAAGGGGCGACAGAUGUCUCAGCCAGAUUGCUCCACAUCUGGAUCAGGAGUUUAAGUAUGAUUUGAAAGGCACCGGGCCAAAACAAUGUUUGAGGAAGUUGACUCGUGCUGUGACUUCACAGAAAAGAAUGGAGGAAGGAUAAGCUAUGGCAGCAGUUCAGCCACAAGGUGACAGUACUCCAAGUUUGUUUGGGAAACUAUUGGAGACAGUCUGUUGCACUAUUAACCGAGCCAGCAAAACAAAGAGAUAACCCCAUCAUGGUUGUAAGAUGGACACAGCUGUUCAUGCAUCACCUCUGAACAGGACAGUACUUGGAGGAAGAGACUAUUUCUUUCUGUGUGUCUCUCUUGGGAGAGGGGAACCUUUCCUAGAAGCAGCCCAAAUUUCCUUUCAUGCCUCAUUGGCCAGAUUACAUCACAUGUCCAUGCCUAAACCAACCAUUGACAAUAUAAUUACUAAGACCAAUCAGGAUGCAGCCCUCAGACCUGUCUGAGACAUGUGGUGCAUGGAAAACAAUGGAUUUCUGAACAAAAUCAAGGCUGCACAAGAAGGUACAGAGAGAAUUGGAGUGAACACUGUGAUGUGUUGGAGUGAGGAGAGACAAGACAGGAGACCAACUGGGAAGCCUGAGAUUCCAAGCAUGAGGAAUUCAAGGAUUAAGAAGCAAUACUGUACAACAAAACAGCACAAGACAUGCUCCACCAGUGAAGUGAUGAAAGAACAAGUGAGCAAUAGAGACAAUAAAUGCUGCUAGAUUUGUGGGACUUCUUUGUGCCUGGAGUUGUCAGGAAAGACUUGAUGGGGAAGCAGCAACUUGAAGUGGACUUGAAUUAUGGACAGUACUUGCAGAGGAGAAUAGAAAUGGUG
Trichechus manatus latirostris (Florida manatee) is the source of this 1169-nucleotide long non-coding RNA. RefSeq lists it as uncharacterized. The transcript is spliced from 5 exons. The record is from RefSeq and is a predicted model, not a curated record. Lineage: Eukaryota; Metazoa; Chordata; Mammalia; Sirenia; Trichechidae.